Polypterus senegalus (gray bichir) is the source of this 501-nucleotide long non-coding RNA. RefSeq lists it as uncharacterized. The record is from RefSeq and is a predicted model, not a curated record. Lineage: Eukaryota; Metazoa; Chordata; Cladistia; Polypteriformes; Polypteridae. The transcript is spliced from 2 exons.
CAAUACCUGCUAACUGGGUACCUCACCAUCCAAAAGACAGCUGAAGGUUUAAUGCCACCUCAUGGCGGCAAAGAAGCAGUUAACUUCAGUGGGUCGUCAUGCUUGCUACUGCUAUCUCAAAUAAACAAACGUCAAGUUUAGACUGUACCUCCCCCAUAAUGAUAAGAUGACACCCCCCUGUGAUUCACAGGGCAUCAUUGGAUUUGGUGCUGCCAAUGAGUGUUGCAGGGACUAGGGAGGCCAACUUCACUUCAACCAGAAGUGCUUUUGGACCAUGCAUAUGAAAGACCGGAAGUAUUUCCAGGCGGAAAAUAAAAGAAGCUGCCUGCCUCACAACGACGAGCCAGAGUCAGGUGGAAAGUGGACAAAGCUUGUGAGGAGGAGUGGAGGAGUCAGUGGAAGAGAGAUCUAGAAAAAGAAGAUAAAAUUGUACUUGUUGCAGUGGUGGAGGGAAACGUUUGGUUGAAAGAGUUUACCCAGAAUAAAGGACUCUUUGUGAUU